UUACGGCCACAUCCCAAAGAAACGCCGUUUCCAGUACGAUCACUGAGGUUAAGCAAUAUCGAGCCUGGUCAGUAUUCAGAUAGACGACCGCUUGGGAAUAUCAGGUACUGUA
Acanthosepion pharaonis is the source of this 112-nucleotide non-coding RNA. NCBI's taxonomy places the organism in Eukaryota, Metazoa, Mollusca, Cephalopoda, Sepiida, Sepiidae. The record is from the annotation of a GenBank genome assembly.